UGAGCUAAGACAUCCAUGUUUCAAGGCGUUGGUGAUUCCUCCUCAUCUCACAGUGGUGUCCUGGUCUGUCAAGCAUGUGUCCACAGCUGAACAGAAAUCCUACCAACUUUCUGCUUUGCUGGUGCAAGUCCAUGAUCUGGAACAAAGAAAACGUCGCUGACUCUCCUUCGACGUGAGUGAAGUUUCC
This is a long non-coding RNA of Suricata suricatta (meerkat), 187 nucleotides long. RefSeq lists it as uncharacterized. Lineage: Eukaryota; Metazoa; Chordata; Mammalia; Carnivora; Herpestidae. The transcript is spliced from 3 exons. The record is from RefSeq and is a predicted model, not a curated record.